AGAGAGGACCAUUAUUCGAGAGCAAAUAACGAAGAGGGUGAAGAAUCAUAAAAACCUCUAACUGCUACAUCACACACUCGCAAAAGAGUAGCGUGAACAGGGAACUUCCUGAAAGAUUUUGCUAGUGGUUCAAUCUCCUCUUCCUCGGGAUUGCUAGCAGUAAAAUUGAAAGUCCUCGAAAGAUGCCUAGCUUCACUGAUGAGCAAAUAAAGUGACUUGCCCAUAGCCACACCAAGACAGCAGAAACAGAAUGGCAGCCAGGGUGGCAAGCUGUUUUCAGUGGAUAGUAAUAUACACACUUGCCCAAAAGAGUGAAGCCUCAGCUGAAUGGCAGGAAUAUUGCUGCAGGAUGUAUGCGUCAAGGAAACCAGAAUCAGUUUUCCCGGCCCAAAAUAAGGUGAUCCCGGCUCCCGUUUUACCCCUUCAGGACUCUCUUCAGAGCUUCAAAACACAAGUAUUCGCGAAAGUAUGUGAGUGAAUGAGUACCGUUAUCUCUUUUCUCCAGGAUGUGGGAAAAUGGAGUAAGUAAAAUUAAAGCAGAAUAUAUAUUUAUGAACAAUCAUGCAUCACAAUUUACAGUUUAUCAAAGCCAAAGAUUUCUAGCUGGAAUUCUUUCACCGGGACCCAAAGUGCUCAACUUGAAUAAAACUCUAUAAAAUUCUAUGUGAUCCAUUUAGGCACUCGUAUAAUAAUAAUAAUAGUGACAACAUUAUUAUUAUCAUUAUUAUUGUCAUAAUUAUAAUUGAAUGAUAAUAAUAAGAAAAAUAAGACCACUCACUAAACAGACUAAAUUAAAGGAGCCAUACAUAAAAAAUAGAUAAAUAUUAAACAAGGGUUUGAUGUUUUUAUUUUAUUUAUUUAAUUAAAUAGUUAAAACUUUUAAACUAUCAAUAAUAACAGAAAAAAACAAAGAUACAGUACAGUGUGUCAGACUUGUUUGCUCGUUGUGGAUAUUUAUUUUUUAAUUUUCAUUUAUAGAGGCUUCUUUCAUACUGAUACACAGUAAAACAUAAUAAACAAUAACAAAAAGAAAGAAGUGCGGAGAGGAGCAAGCGAGGUCCCAACGAGGCCCACCCGAAAAUAUAUGUAUAAGUGAGCUAGCCUGCUUGCAGACGGUACUCGGUGUUUUAUUAUCGCGAAAAGCCCUCUCCUUUCGGUGAUCGGCCAUCUUGUAUUUUAAGCCGCGUGGUUCCCUGGGGCGAGCGUCCGUUUUUGCGCUUGCCCCCAGGAACCACCUGGCUUAUAAUACAGAAUGGCGCCCGAUUGUACCGUUGCAGAACUGUCCUCGUUGCAGAAGUGUCUAACCAAUCAGAUAGGACUACAUGUGUCCAAUCAUAGACCUUGUUAGAAUACCACACGUGUGACACUGGGAUCGAGUGGCAGAACAGUCUUCCCUCUUCUUCCCUGGGAUCGAGUUUGCUAUGGCAGAAUGGUCGUUUGUUGAUAAUAUAACUGAUUUCUGAGGAAUUGAUAAAGCAGAGAAACACUCAAAUAGCAGAGAAACACCCAAGAGAAAACGAUUUAGCAAAAGCCAUGUUAUGUUCCCUUACUGAGUCCGUCCUAAGACGGAGACAAGCCAUUAAGAGGGGCUUCACCACCUUGAUUAUCUCAUCCUGACCAAGUCAUUGCACUGCAGUUGUCCACACAUCACAGUUGGUUAUUGCCCUUGACAAAUACUGCAGAGGAAUUCCAUUUUUAUUUAUUUCAGGCAGUGUCAAAUUUUUUUAUUCAAUGUCAAAGGUGCCAAGGUUAACAAAAUUGAACCAGAGAUUUUGUCAUCUUUAGCUCAUCUUUAGCUUUAGGCGGCACCAAGCAAAUAGUCCAGUUUUGAAUUCAACUGUGCCAUUGGAAUUAAGGACACAUAUAAAGACAGUGUGAGCCUAAGUUUCAGAUUAUUGGUUCACAAAUAACAUCGAGAUCAUGAAGAAUUCACAUGUUUUACAUUGUUUUAUUUCAAGCUCUAGGAGAUUUUCACUUGUAUGUUACACUUGACUUAUACUACCUUUGUCCAUCUAUUCAGCAGGCAUGAUGCAUUUCCAAAUUUGAUUACUGAAGCAACCUUUGUCACAUCAUAGCUUAUAAUGUUCUGCUGUAGUUAUGUAACUAUUUAUUUGCAUAACCUUUCAAUAAAUCACAUGUUUCCUUUA
This is a long non-coding RNA of Nematostella vectensis (starlet sea anemone), 2147 nucleotides long. RefSeq lists it as uncharacterized. NCBI's taxonomy places the organism in Eukaryota, Metazoa, Cnidaria, Anthozoa, Actiniaria, Edwardsiidae. The record is from RefSeq and is a predicted model, not a curated record. The transcript has 4 exons.